GUUUGCAACCCAGGGCUGGGAUGAAGGGGCUGCGGGAAGCUCUCGUUCCCCUCGCCCCCCUUCUGUCUGGAGUCUCGCCCGCCGGGGGCUGGUUAACCCCAGUCCCGGCCGCCGCAGACACCGCGCUGAGCUUUUGGGUCCUCGCCUCGCCCAGCGCCAGUGCAGCUGAAGUGAGCAGCUGGUGGGAAAUGCAAAUGGCUCCUGGAGAAAUAGAAGAUACAGAAUGAUUCUCAUUCCCUCCUCGAGUGUGUGGAAGGAACUGGACAUACGUUUCACGCUCCUAAUCCUUCUUUUACAUUUUUAGUCAUACUCCUAUUAAACAACUAAUUAAUGCCCAGAACCACCGGGGAAUACAUUAGGCAUGCAGCGGACAGGCAGGGUGCUGGGGGGCUGCAAGCCACCGAGACGAUUUAAGACAUGGAUUUCAGGUUUUUCCCUCGUCAGAGCAGAAAUGGAAGAGUGGGCCGUGGCGAUUGUAUUUAGAUUCCGAUUACUUCAAAUUAGAAGGGGGCGGAGGGAGCGUCCAAGCAAAGCAAGCAAUUCCCUGCCCUGCAGAUGUAAACAAGAUUGUAGCAUCAAAGCAAGAGUUUGCAGCAACUGGAACAACUUCUCUCUGGGAAGAUAUUCCCUUUGCUGGGCUCUCAGCUUCUGGAGAAAAGGACUUGAAAGCAAUGAAGGAGAAAGGAGACACUGGAGGUUGUCACCCACUUCCGCUGAGACAAGCUGCAGUUCAGUGAAGGAACCGAGGCAGUAGUCAGACCUCCCCUGGAGGUUCUCUUUAAGUGCAGCACUGACUUCCCCACUACGGGAUCCCAAGAUAAGAAAAUGGAGGCCCUGCAAGGAUAAAUGAAUCAUCCAAGAUCACAUGCCUGAUUGUUGACAUUGUUG
Molecule: long non-coding RNA, 888 nt
Filed under: Equus asinus (donkey)
Lineage: Eukaryota; Metazoa; Chordata; Mammalia; Perissodactyla; Equidae
Description: lncRNA (ENSEASG00005025879.1)
Source: RNAcentral